AAACCAUGGUGAGGGCACCUUCGCAAUAAGUCAUUGUAUCUCUCCCAUGCAUCAAAACGAGUUUCUAGAUCCAUCUGCACAAAAGAAGAAAUAUCAUUCCUUAAUUU
RNAcentral lists this small nucleolar RNA (107 nucleotides) under Gossypium hirsutum (cotton). RNAcentral's name for it is "Plant small nucleolar RNA R71". It matches the Rfam family "Plant small nucleolar RNA R71". From Rfam's summary of the family: R71 is a member of the C/D box family of snoRNAs containing the C (UGAUGA) and D (CUGA) box motifs. Multiple nearly identical copies of this snoRNA have been identified in Arabidopsis, and it is thought to function as a 2'-O-ribose methylation guide for 18S ribosomal RNA. Lineage: Eukaryota; Viridiplantae; Streptophyta; Magnoliopsida; Malvales; Malvaceae. The record is from Rfam by way of RNAcentral.